This 433-nucleotide ribosomal RNA is filed under the name uncultured bacterium. RNAcentral's name for it is "partial 16S ribosomal RNA". It matches the Rfam family "Bacterial small subunit ribosomal RNA", at positions 29 to 507 of the family's 1533-position model. The record is from RNAcentral.
AACGAACGCUGGCGGCAUGCCUAACACAUGCAAGUCGAACGAGACCUUCGGGUCUAGUGGCGCACGGGUGCGUAACGCGUGGGAACCUUCCCUUAGGUUCGGAAUAACUCCCCGAAAGGGGUGCUAAUACCGGAUAAUGUCUUCGGACCAAAGAUUUAUCGCCUUUGGAUGGGCCCGCGUUGGAUUAGCUAGUUGGUAGGGUAAAAGCCUACCAAGGCGACGAUCCAUAGCUGGUCUGAGAGGAUGAUCAGCCACACUGGGACUGAGACACGGCCCAGACUCCUACGGGAGGCAGAAGUGGGGACUAUUGGACAAUGGGCGAAAGCCUGAUCCAGCAAUGCCGCGUGAGUGAUGAAGGCCUUAGGGUUGUAAAGCUCUUUUAACCGGGAUGAUAAUGACAGUACCGGGAGAAUAAGCGCCGGCUAACUCCGUG